Molecule: ribosomal RNA, 294 nt
Filed under: uncultured bacterium
Lineage: Bacteria
Description: partial 16S ribosomal RNA
Rfam family: Bacterial small subunit ribosomal RNA
Source: RNAcentral
GGAUUAGAUACCCUGGUAGUCCACGCUGUAAACGAUGGGUACUAGUUGUUGCGGGUAUUGACCCCCGCAGUGCCGAAGCUAACGCGUUAAGUACCCCGCCUGGGAAGUACGGUCGCAAGAUUAAAACUCAAAGGAAUUGACGGGGGCCCGCACAAGCGGUGGAGCAUGUGGUUUAAUUCGAUGCAACGCGAAGAACCUUACCUGGUUUUGACAUCCUCGGACGACCCUAGAGAUAGGGUUUCCCCUUCGGGGGCCGGGAGACAGGUGCUGCAUGGCUGUCGUCAGCUCGUGCCG